ACAGGUUUUUGAAGGUGGGAAGGAGAGAGUCUGAGAAUGGAUAGAAGAAACAAUGUGAGAGGACGAGUGUGUAUGCGAGGUGGGUGACAAGGAGGAGGAAGACGAAGAGGAAGACGAAGAGGAAGAGGAAGACGAAGAGGAAGAGGAAGACGAAGAGUGGAAAUAUCUGAUGAAAUUCGAGCAACAGUUAUAGACCAUGUUAUUGUCCAUGGACUGACAAUGAGGGAAGCAGGACUUAGAGUGCAACCCAAUUUGAGACGAUUUUCUGUGUCCAUUCAGAGAAGAGAACAGGAUGCGAAUGAAACAAGUAUACAGAGUACCUUUUGAGCGCAACUCACCAAGGGGGAAAGAACUGUGAGCUCAGUAUGUGCAAGUUCAGAUGUGAAGCUCUUGCAGUCCCCAUUGGAGGAUGAUAUGGCUACGGUAGUAACUCUGGAGAGGACAAACGAAGUGGGGACCAUGAAGUGUCUCAUCUGAAUCAUCAACUCAGCCAGAAGCCAUGAAUCUUCUAUCAGCCUGUCAAGUCAAAGAUGAGUGUUGGAUGUGUGAGAGUUCACUUUUUUUGAGCCAUUGGUCAAGUUGGCUGUCCUUGGACACGAUCGCUGCUCUCGGACCUGAUGACCAGGGUUUGAGUGCUGACGUUACCAUAUAGCCCCUCUGAAUUGCUGUUAGACUGCCACAUGCAGUGGCUCAUUUGGAUGUGUUUGAUGUCUUGAAGCUUGACUUCCCUACGUUUCUCCUACAACUGGGCCUGGAGCUCGUUUAAAGAUUCUAGCAGGGGAGUGCAGCUCCACGUCUACUAAUGGGGAAGUAUGGAGCGAUGAGGGAGAAAGGGAACGCCUGCCCAGCCAGCCUAAUCAACUCAAUAAAUGGUGUGACAUGUUGCAGCCAGAUUGCCCUCACAUUUUAAUCUGAUGCAGAAUCUGUCCGCCAACUGCUCUUCAAAGAGAGUCAAUGUUUUUUCUGGCCAGCGGUUACAGUUGCUGCACUCAAUCAUGGUGACAGGGAUUCACGUACCGGCAACAACAUUAGCAUUUAACCCCUCGUGAUGUGUUUUUUUUGUUGACAUUUUUUACUCUUUUACAACAAGGGUGUGUGCAUGUCUUGAAUGAGCUGCGUUUUCACUGUAUUCCUUUUCUUGGAAGAGGAAGCAUGUUCAAAGUUUUUCUAUUUAUUUAUUUUUACGGAGUGACUUCGGUUAGCACCGUCUACUAUAUUUUAAGCGUACUGCCUGAGGUUUCAGUAUGGCUUUUGUUGUUCAGUCAGAAUAGACUUUUCCCACAUUUUGUUAAGUUACAGCCUUAUUCUAAAAUUGAUAAAUAAAUCAUCCAUCUACACACAAUACCCCAGAAUGACAAAGCAAAAACAGGUUGAGAAAUGUUUUUCCAUUUAUUAACAAUAAACUGAAAUAUUACAUUUACAUAAAUAUUCAGACCCUUUACUCAGUACUUGUUGAAGCACCUUUGGCAGCGAUUACAGCCUCGAGUCUUCUUGGGUAUAACGCUACAAGCUUGGCACACCUGUAUUUGGGGAGUUUCUCCCAUUCUUCUCUGCAGAUCCACUCAAGCUCUGCCAGAUUGGAUGGGAAGUGUGGCUGCACAGCUAUUUUCAGGUCUCUCCAGAGAUGUUUGACUGAGUUCAUAUCUGAGCUUAGUUGGGCCACUCAAGGACAUGCAUAGACUUAUCCUGAAGCCACUCCUGCGUUGUCUUGGCUGUGUACUUAGGGUCGUUGUCCUGUUGGAAGGUGAACCUUCGCCGCAGUCUGAGAACCUGCUCCAGAGCACUCAGGACUUCAUCAAGGAUCUCUGUUCUAUGCUCAGUUCAUCUUUCCCGCAAUCCUGACUAGUCUCCCAGUCCAUGAUGCUGCUAGCAUCAUGCUUCACCGUAGGGAGGGUGCCAGAUUUCAUCCAGAUGUGAUGCUUGGCAUUCAGGCCAAAGAGUUCAAUCUUGGUUUCAUCAGACCAGAGAAUCUUGUUUCUCAUAGUCAGAGUCCUUUAGGUGCCUUUUGGCAAACACCAAGCGGGCUGCCAUGUGCCUUUUACUAAGUAGUGGCUUCCAUCUGGCCACUCUACCAUUAAAGAAUAAUCAAGGCCACUGUGUUCUUAGGGACCUUCAUUGCUGUAGAAUUGUUUUGGUACCCUUCCCCAGAUCUAUGCCUCGACACAAUCCUGUCUCGGCGCUCUACGGACAAUUACUUUGACCUCAUGGCUUGGUUUUUGCUUUGACAUGUACUGUCAACUGUGGGAUCUUAUAUAGACAGGUGUGUGCCUUUCCAAAACAUGUCCAGUCAGUUGAAUUUACCACAGGUGGACUCUAAUCAAGUUGUAGAAACAUCUCAAGGAUGAUCAAUGGAAACAGGAUGCACCUGAGCUCAAUUUCAAGUCUCAUAGCAAAUGGUCUAAAUUCUUAAGUAAGUAAGGUAUUUCUGUUUUUCAUUUUGAAUACAUUUACAAACAUUUCUAAACCUGUUUUCACUUUAUCAUUAUGGGGUAUUCUGUGAACAUAGAUGAACAUAUUUGAUUCAUUUUAGAAUAAUACUGUAAUGUAACAAAAUGUGGGAAAAGUCAAGGGGUCUGUAUACUUUCUGAAUGCACUAAAUGUAGCAGCUGUCUUCUAUUUGGUACUGCCUGUAGUCUCAUGGUUAUUGAUGAGUAUGAUUGUUGGCCCCGUUGCCACUAACUCAAUGUUACUCUUUUCUGAUUCAUUCCCACUGUAUGAGGGGCUCCGAGCCCCUCUAGGUAGCACCCACCUGCCUGACGUCAACCCCUCCCUGCCUGGCUUGGUGCCUGGCCUGUCCAACCCCAGGCCCCCAGUCCUGCUCUGCCUGUGACCCUGCCCAGUUUCUGGAUCUUUGCUGCCCCAAUCGUACCUGCUUUUUGUCCAGUCUCCAAGAUAUGUGUCUCCAGUACCAAGAUGACAUUUACCAUGUACAGAUGUAGGUUCUUAAUUUGAUCAUACACUCUUUUGUUUCUGAGAAUUUUCCUGUACAGUAGGAAAUGUAAACUUGUAGUGUAAUCGAGUUUUAAAAACGCUUCUAAAGUUUAACAUCUCCACUUUCAAACGUCAUGAUUUGCCUUAACAAAAAAUGUAGCAACCUCUACAAAGAUGUCCAUGACUUAUAAUUAAAAAAUUUUGUUGUGCAGGAUUAUUUACUAGCUGUAGCAAACUGGCUCAAAUUAAGAUCCUACACCUGUAAGAACUUUAAAUGUUAAAACAAUUAUUUUAUUUAGCUUUUCCAUCAUUGCUAAAUGUCUACUAUGUUUACCUCUUAUCUUUUGUGAUAACUCACUUUGGUUUACAGGUAUUUUAGCACUGGGCCUAUUGUCAGUAAACCUUAAAAGUAACAUUUCAAGUAAAUUAUUAAUUGAUAUAUGUUGAUAAUUUGUGUAUUUUCCAGGCGCUUGCUCGAUUGUCUUAUAAAGGAGAUCAGGGAGAAUUUUCUCCAUAUGGGCUUAAAUGAGUUUCUGUUUUUUUUGCUUUCCUCUGAAAAACAUUAACAUUAAAUAUUGUAAC
Molecule: long non-coding RNA, 3513 nt
Organism: Oncorhynchus keta (chum salmon)
Lineage: Eukaryota; Metazoa; Chordata; Actinopteri; Salmoniformes; Salmonidae
Exons: 4
Source: RefSeq, a predicted model, not a curated record